GAUGAACGCUGGCGGCGUGCUUAACACAUGCAAGUCGAACGGUGAAGGCGGAGCUUGCUCUGCUGGAUCAGUGGCGAACGGGUGAGUAACACGUGAGCAAUCUGCCCCUGUCUCUGGGAUAAGCGCUGGAAACGGCGUCUAAUACUGGAUACGAGCUGCGAAGGCAUCUUCAGCAGCUGGAAAGAAUUUCGGUCAGGGAUGAGCUCGCGGCCUAUCAGCUUGUUGGUGAGGUAAUGGCUCACCAAGGCGUCGACGGGUAGCCGGCCUGAGAGGGUGACCGGCCACACUGGGACUGAGACACGGCCCAGACUCCUACGGGAGGCAGCAGUGGGGAAUAUUGCACAAUGGGCGAAAGCCUGAUGCAGCAACGCCGCGUGAGGGACGACGGCCUUCGGGUUGUAAACCUCUUUUAGCAGGGAAGAAGCGAAAGUGACGGUACCUGCAGAAAAAGCGCCGGCUAACUACGUG
RNAcentral lists this ribosomal RNA (468 nucleotides) under uncultured bacterium. RNAcentral's name for it is "partial 16S ribosomal RNA". It matches the Rfam family "Bacterial small subunit ribosomal RNA", at positions 28 to 507 of the family's 1533-position model. The record is from RNAcentral.